This 462-nucleotide ribosomal RNA is filed under the name uncultured bacterium. RNAcentral describes it as "partial 16S ribosomal RNA". It matches the Rfam family "Bacterial small subunit ribosomal RNA", at positions 338 to 795 of the family's 1533-position model. The record is from RNAcentral.
CCUACGGGCGGCAGCAGUGAGGAAUAUUGGUCAAUGGACGCAAGCCUGAACCAGCCAAGUAGCGUGCAGGAUGACGGCCCUCCGGGUUGUAAACUGCUUUUAGUUGGGAAUAAAGGGCGGCUCGUGAGCCACUUAUUGUAUGUACCAUCAGACAAAGGACCGGCGAAUUCCGGGCGACACGCCGCGGUAAUAGGGGAGGUCCGGGCGUUAUCCGGAUGUAUUGGGGUUAAAGGGAGCGGAGGCGGGCUUUUAAGUCAGCUGUGAAAGUCGGCGGCUCAACCGUGGAAUUGCAGUUGAAACUGGGGGCCUUGAGUGCACACAGGGAAGGCGGAAUUCAUGGUGUAGCGGUGAAAUGCUUAGAUAUCAUGAAGAACCCCGAUCGCGAAGGCAAGUGUCCGGGGUGCAACUGACGCUGAGGCUCGAAAGUGCGGGUAUCAAACAGGAUUAGAUACCCGGGUAGUC